RNAcentral lists this ribosomal RNA (254 nucleotides) under uncultured bacterium. RNAcentral's name for it is "partial 16S ribosomal RNA". It matches the Rfam family "Bacterial small subunit ribosomal RNA", at positions 524 to 776 of the family's 1533-position model. The record is from RNAcentral.
UACGGAGGGUGCGAGCGUUGUCCGGAAUCAUUGGGCGUAAAGGGCGCGUAGGUGGCCCGGUCAGUUCGUGGUGAAAGCGCGGGGCUCAACCCUGCGUCGGCCAUGAAUACUGCCGCGGCUGGAGCACUGUAGAGGCAGGCGGAAUUCCGGGUGUAGCGGUGGAAUGCGUAGAUAUCAGGAGGAACACCUGUGGUGUAGACAGCUUACUGGACCAUUUCUGACGCUGAGACACGAAAGCGUGGGUAGCAAACAGG